RNAcentral lists this ribosomal RNA (327 nucleotides) under uncultured eukaryote. RNAcentral's name for it is "partial 18S ribosomal RNA". It matches the Rfam family "Eukaryotic small subunit ribosomal RNA", at positions 1470 to 1796 of the family's 1831-position model. The record is from RNAcentral.
CCCUUAGAUGUUCUGGGCCGCACGCGCGCUACACUGAUGCAUUCAACAAGCCUAGCCUUGACCGAGAGGUCCGGGUAAUCUUUGAAACUGCAUCGUGAUGGGGCUAGAUUAUUGCAAUUAUUAAUCUUCAACGAGGAAUGCCUAGUAAGCGUGAUUCAUCAAAUCGCGUUGAUUACGUCCCUGCCCUUUGUACACACCGCCCGUCGCUGCCCGGAACUGAGCCGUUUCGAGAAAGCCGGGGACUGACGGCUUGUGGGUGCGCAAGCGCUUCUUGCCGAUGGAAACCAGUUUAAUCGGUAUGGCUUGAACCGGGCAAAAGUCGUAACA